AGAACUUCAGAUAUUCUACAAUAAACCGGCUCACUGAUUUCACGCAGUAAAUAUACGGACCUUUCACCAUCCGGAGAUGGUGUCUCAGCUCUUGUUCCUGUUUUUAGUGUUACCGGUCGGUUUUACAGAUAUGGCGUCCGUGCUGAUCCAACAGACUCCAGCUUACAUUACCGGUUCCCCGGGCACUCCAGUCAGCAUCGAGUGCCUUUACACAAAAGCCAGUGCUAGCAGCUAUUUCUACUGGUACCGAUGGUACCCUGACCGUGAGCCUCGGAAUCUUUUCUAUUCCAGCACCGUUGGCAAGGUCAUUCCCUCCGGUGAGGUGGACGGUUUCACCGCGACAAGACGCGACAACACCCGUUUCUAUCUGGAAUCCUCCGGCUUGCGGGCGAAUCACUCGGCUAUGUAUUAUUGUGCCUGGAGUAAACACAUCGACUCAAAGAGACGGAAGAGUUCAACAAAAACCCCAACGGGACUAAACUAUAACUGCAAAAUGUUGGCAGAGGCGAUGCACGAAUGCCCAAUUCUGGUGUCGAUGAACAGAGGCGAGCCAGCAGCAUGA
This is a non-coding RNA of Carcharodon carcharias (great white shark), 562 nucleotides long. The record is from the annotation of a RefSeq genome assembly. NCBI's taxonomy places the organism in Eukaryota, Metazoa, Chordata, Chondrichthyes, Lamniformes, Lamnidae.